Molecule: small RNA, 649 nt
Filed under: Pan troglodytes (chimpanzee)
Lineage: Eukaryota; Metazoa; Chordata; Mammalia; Primates; Hominidae
Description: retained intron
Source: RNAcentral
GGGUGAGACGGGAGGAGGGUAGUCACGGGCUCAGGGCUGGAGGCUGGCGGGCUAGGGCUGAGUGGAGCGCCUGCUUAGAGACCUUCGGGAGAACUUCUGCCGGAACCCCGACGGCUCAGAGGCGCCCUGGUGCUUCACACUGCGGCCCGGCAUGCGCGUGGCCUUUUGCUACCAGAUCCGGCGUUGUACAGACGACGUGCGGCCCCAGGGUGAGGCCCAAGCUUGGGGGAUACAGAGCCGGGGCUGGAAGCCUGGAACCGGAGGGCCGGGGCGAGGUCUCGGCCUGAUGGCUGCCCGCACCCGCCACAGACUGCUACCACGGCGCAGGGGAGCAGUACCGCGGCACGGUCAGCAAGACCCGCAAGGGUGUCCAGUGCCAGCGCUGGUCCGCUGAGACGCCGCACAAGCCGCAGUUCACGUUUACCUCCGAACCGCAUGCACAACUGGAGGAGAACUUCUGCCGGAACCCAGAUGGGGAUAGCCAUGGGCCCUGGUGCUACACGAUGGACCCAAGGACCCCAUUCGACUACUGUGCCCUGCGACGCUGCGCUGAUGACCAGCCGCCAUCAAUCCUGGAUCCCCCAGGUUAGGAGUUGGGCCAGUUAUGGGUCAGGCCCUUUAGCCCACGACAUCCACACAGUCUGGGUUU